Long non-coding RNA from Bubalus bubalis (water buffalo), 720 nucleotides. RefSeq lists it as uncharacterized. The transcript has 4 exons. The record is from RefSeq and is a predicted model, not a curated record. Lineage: Eukaryota; Metazoa; Chordata; Mammalia; Artiodactyla; Bovidae.
GUCAGAAACAUCCACAUAAGGCAGAGCCUGACAACCAACUGGGCUGGGGCCAACCAAGCCCACCAGAUUACGCACAUAGUCAGUCUGCAACAACAGAAGGACCCACGCAGCCCUCUUAUGGAAUCCCUAGAGCAUACAGCUUGGGUGACGAGAGCAGAGUGCACUGCCAGGACACACAGGACUCCUCUUACAGUGGCCACUUCUCCAGGUUUGAGAAAGGUGAAAAAAGAAAAGGCCACAAGUAGAAGCAAGAAAAUUACAAAAUGAAGGAGCUCACCAGAAAACACAAACAUAUAACAAAGUUUUAUUAUUCCUUGAAGAUUUCCAAGCCAUUUGUAUUGGGCAUCCAUGGGCUAUUAUUAACUACAUUAGUCAGAAGCGUUGCAUCUGCCAAUGAAACAGCAGCAGUCUUGGAUAUUUCUACCAGGGCCAUGGCUGCAGCCUUCUAACUGGAUUUUCUCCUUCAGUUUUAUUCUCCUUUAUUCAAUUUUCUGUUCCUCAGAGAGAAAUUCUCUGGUCCCCCAAUGGAAACAACACGCCAACACUCUUUCCAUUACCUUAUCUUACUUUUCUUUGAAAUAUGUAUUUUCUUUGAAGUAUAUUUAUUGACUUUUUUCCCUUUAGAAUUUACAGUUCAUUGGUUCAUGAAAUUUGUUCCCUGCUGUAUCUACAGCAUCUAAAACAGUUCCUGGCAUAUAAUACAUAUUUAAUAAACAUUCA